This 84-nucleotide transfer RNA is filed under the name Nematostella vectensis (starlet sea anemone). It matches the Rfam family "tRNA". From Rfam's summary of the family: Transfer RNA (tRNA) molecules are approximately 80 nucleotides in length. Lineage: Eukaryota; Metazoa; Cnidaria; Anthozoa; Actiniaria; Edwardsiidae. The record is from Rfam by way of RNAcentral.
CCUUCGAUAGCUCAGUUGGAGUCGGGGGACUGUAGAUUUAUAAUUGUGAUCCCUAGGCUGCUGGUUCGAAUCCAGCUCGAAGAA